GGUCAAGGAUUUGGAAGUGGAGCUUGAAACUACUAAACAAAAAAGCAAAGAAAACAUUGAGCAGGCGAUUUUGAUUGAACAAGAAAGAGUAACCCAAAUGCAGUGGGACAUGGAAGAACUUAGACGAAAGUCAAUGGAAAUGGAAUUAAAGUUGAAUUCUCAACAGGUUCUGUAUCUUGGAGGUGUUGGCUGGUUAGAUAUAUUGUACCUCAAUCAACAAUAAUUUUAACUUACACUGUCUGUCAUACCUUUCCAGAAUCAAAAAAUGGAUACAGAGGUGAAAGUCUCAAGCAGUAAUGAGAAAAAUAUACUUCAGGAGUUGGAUCUCAAAAGACAGCAACUUGAGGAUUUAUCGAAGCGACAGCAAGAGGUAGAAGUGAAGUCAAAAGCUGACAUCAGAGUUCUUGUUAAAGAGGUUAAAUCCCUCAGAAGUACCCAAGCAGAAAUUAAAAUGCAGCUUAAGGAAUCACUUCAAGAAAAAUCUGAGAUUGAGGUAUUGUUGAAGAUGAAAAGGCAUGUGUUUUCAUGCCAUUGCUUGCUUAUACAAGGAAUUGGUUAUUUCUAGUUUCUUUUCCUACUAAUGAUAUUGUUCAUGGGGGUCAUAGUCUAAUUUUUUGUUGCAGAAAUACUUUAACUGACUUGAUAGCUUCAGUUUAAGAAAGUCCUCAAUAGAUCAGGUCACAUUGUUUAUGCGUUUUUAUAUUAUAAGCAUGCUAUCUAAGUUGUUGCCUAGACCUACAUGGUGAUCCAUGAGCUGAAACAAAAAUUAAGUAAAACUUUUAAGACAAUUUGACUGCUAUUUUAUGAUAUAUGAUUGAUUCGUCAAUAUAAAGUGGCUCAUGAAAACUUAUGCAAAUAUAUUAAGACCCAAACUUUUGUUUGGCAUUCCAGAUGCUCUUGCAAGAAGAAAAACAUAAAAAUGAGCACAUGUAUGCUGCAUGGAGGAAUUUUUUGGAGAAAUGUGAGACUCUUUUCAAUCAACUCCAAGAGUGCAAGGUUGAUAUAUUGAAAGAAGAUGAAAAGAAUGACCUCAUGGAAUUUCCUUUGCCAACACAUGCAUUUGAUGACAUUGCAAAGUCUGAUGAUCAAAUCAAUGUUCUUCUUGCUGAGGU
This 1112-nucleotide long non-coding RNA is filed under the name Coffea arabica (coffee). Its description in RNAcentral is "long non-coding RNA (CARA_LNC005823)". The record is from RNAcentral. Lineage: Eukaryota; Viridiplantae; Streptophyta; Magnoliopsida; Gentianales; Rubiaceae.